UCCACAGUACUAUACUGUAUGUGUACAUUACAGUACAGUACUGCAGUUCAUAAUGCAUUCUGGGUAAAUUUGUUUGAGCGGGAAAAUUUUACAGUAUAUUUUGGUCUUGAUGUAACCUUGCUGUAGCCAUUGCUGUAAUGUGCCAGGUGUACUUGCAAUAAUCAGAGAAAGUGCGCCAACGUCAAAUCACACAGAGGGAGAGAGAGCACAACUCCUGGCUGCAGCUGAAGGAGGACGAUUGAUUUCUGGCAGUUCGUCUUACCAUUGCUUGUAAGCUGGAUUGGGUAAGAUGGAUCAUCUUUAAAGGCACCAGGAGUUAAGGCAGAUGUGGAGGCACAACGGGUGAUACCAGACACACACCAAGCACAUUAUGUUUGGACAUUCAAUCAUGACAUGAUCCAGGUGGAUGCUGUCCAUUGAGGAAAGUUUGUUCAGCGGUUUCUGGAUAGAAUUAAUUCCAAAGAUGGGAAAAAGUGCACAUCCAGACAAGGAGCAAGCAAAAAGACAAGGAACUUGGUGCAGAGAAAAGCUGUGGCCAUUAACCCCUGUGAACAGCUUCAUGCAGUCGCUGAUUGAGUUCGAAUGGACGACUUCAAAGUAAAGGCCACUGUGGUCUGUCUGCCACAGUUUAAUUUUUAAUUUAUUUUUAGUGUUCAAUGAAAUUCAAGUAGAAUAUUUAAAACUAUGGGCCAGUGUUGUUUUUACCACAGUGAAAUGUUACCUUUUAGUCGAUGAUGGACUUUAAACUGAAAACUUCAAACUAUGGAACAGUGUUCUAUUUGCCAGAGUUAAAUAUGUUACAGCAGGGGUCUCCAAACUUGUUUAUACUUGUUGAUUUUAUUUUAUGUUACUUGAUUAUAUGUUUAUUAUUGUUUAAAAUCUUGUUUUAAAUAUGUUUGUUUCAAUUAAAUGUUUUUUUUAAUAAAAUUUUGAUACAAACAUUGCUUGGAUUGCCUUUUAAUUCAUUAUGUUUUAAUUUAGCAUUUUUACCAUAUUAAUAACUAUAGAUUUAAACCUAAAU
Molecule: non-coding RNA, 1021 nt
Organism: Paramisgurnus dabryanus
Lineage: Eukaryota; Metazoa; Chordata; Actinopteri; Cypriniformes; Cobitidae
Source: RefSeq, a predicted model, not a curated record